UCUUGGUAAUUGACUAAAGUACACUACU
RNAcentral lists this small RNA (28 nucleotides) under Bombyx mori (domestic silkworm). RNAcentral describes it as "ovarian small RNA-30206". Lineage: Eukaryota; Metazoa; Arthropoda; Insecta; Lepidoptera; Bombycidae. The record is from RNAcentral.